This 699-nucleotide ribosomal RNA is filed under the name Rhizoctonia solani. RNAcentral describes it as "eukaryotic LSU rRNA". The stretch from base 266 to 419 matches the Rfam family "5.8S ribosomal RNA". The record is from RNAcentral. Lineage: Eukaryota; Fungi; Basidiomycota; Agaricomycetes; Cantharellales; Ceratobasidiaceae.
CAAGGUUUCCGUAGGUGAACCUGCGGAAGGAUCAUUAUUGAAUUAAUGUAGAGUUUGGUUGUAGCUGGCUCCUAAUUAAACUUGGGGGCAUGUGCACACCUUUCUCUUUCAUCCCAUACACACCUGUGCACCUGUGAGACAGAUGUUUUGUGGGGGGGAAGGAACUUUAUUGGACCUUCUACUCCCCCUUGACUUCUGUCUACUUAAUUCAUAUAAACUCAAUUUAUUUUAAAACGGAUGUAAUGGAUGUAACACAUCUAAUACUAAGUUUCAACAACGGAUCUCUUGGCUCUCGCAUCGAUGAAGAACGCAGCGAAAUGCGAUAAGUAAUGUGAAUUGCAGAAUUCAGUGAAUCAUCGAAUCUUUGAACGCACCUUGCGCUCCUUGGUAUUCCUUGGAGCAUGCCUGUUUGAGUAUCAUGAAAUCUUCAAAGUCAAACCUUUUGUUAAUUCAAUUGGUUCUGCUUUGGUAUUGGAGGAUUAUUGCAGCUUCACACCUGCUCCUCUUUGUGCAUUAGCUGGAUCUCAGUGUUAUGCUUGGUUCCACUCAGCGUGAUAAGUUAUCUAUCGCUGAGGACACCCUGUUAAAAAGGGGUGGCCAAGGUAAAUGCAGAUGAACCGCUUCUAAUAGUCCAUUGACUUGGACAAUAUCUAAUUUAUGAUCUGAUCUCAAAUCAGGUAGGACUACCCGCUGAACUUA